This 204-nucleotide long non-coding RNA is filed under the name Leguminivora glycinivorella. Its description in RNAcentral is "uncharacterized LOC125241926". Lineage: Eukaryota; Metazoa; Arthropoda; Insecta; Lepidoptera; Tortricidae. The record is from RNAcentral.
ACCAAAAGUGAAAAAUAUAUCGGAUUAAUAAGGCCGCCGUGUGUGAAAAGUGCCAAAAAUACUAAUAAUAAUACAUAAAGAUUCAAAGUCACAAAUAAUCUACCUACUUAAUAGCAGCAAAUUUUAGUGCUCCUUGCCGUUAAUCGCCCACUACUGAGCAUCAUAGGGAGGCCCCCUUCGUGUACGCCACUUAUCCCGGUCCUG